RNAcentral lists this ribosomal RNA (620 nucleotides) under Fusarium oxysporum. Its description in RNAcentral is "eukaryotic LSU rRNA". It matches the Rfam family "Eukaryotic large subunit ribosomal RNA", at positions 1 to 631 of the family's 3401-position model. Lineage: Eukaryota; Fungi; Ascomycota; Sordariomycetes; Hypocreales; Nectriaceae. The record is from RNAcentral.
AACUUCUGAAUGUUGACCUCGGAUCAGGUAGGAAUACCCGCUGAACUUAAGCAUAUCAAUAAGCGGAGGAAAAGAAACCAACAGGGAUUGCCCUAGUAACGGCGAGUGAAGCGGCAACAGCUCAAAUUUGAAAUCUGGCUCUCGGGCCCGAGUUGUAAUUUGUAGAGGAUACUUUUGAUGCGGUGCCUUCCGAGUUCCCUGGAACGGGACGCCAUAGAGGGUGAGAGCCCCGUCUGGUUGGAUGCCAAAUCUCUGUAAAGUUCCUUCAACGAGUCGAGUAGUUUGGGAAUGCUGCUCUAAAUGGGAGGUAUAUGUCUUCUAAAGCUAAAUACCGGCCAGAGACCGAUAGCGCACAAGUAGAGUGAUCGAAAGAUGAAAAGCACUUUGAAAAGAGAGUUAAAAAGUACGUGAAAUUGUUGAAAGGGAAGCGUUUAUGACCAGACUUGGGCUUGGUUAAUCAUCUGGGGUUCUCCCCAGUGCACUUUUCCAGUCCAGGCCAGCAUCAGUUUUCCCCGGGGGAUAAAGGCGGCGGGAAUGUGGCUCUCUUCGGGGAGUGUUAUAGCCCACCGUGUAAUACCCUGGGGGGGACUGAGGUUCGCGCAUCUGCAAGGAUGCUGGCC